This 305-nucleotide ribosomal RNA is filed under the name uncultured bacterium. RNAcentral describes it as "bacterial SSU rRNA". It matches the Rfam family "Bacterial small subunit ribosomal RNA", at positions 333 to 652 of the family's 1533-position model. The record is from RNAcentral.
UGUAUCCUACGGGGGGCAGCAGUGGGGAAUAUUGGGCAAUGGGCGCAAGCCUGACCCAGCAAUGCCGCGUGAAGGAAGAAGGCCCUCGGGUUGUAAACUUCUUUUAUCAGGGACGAAGGAUGUGACGGUACCUGAUGAAUAAGCCACGGCUAACUACGUGCCAGCAGCCGCGGUAAUACGUAGGUGGCAAGCGUUGUCCGGAUUUACUGGGUGUAAAGGGCGUGCAGCCGGGAAGACAAGUCAGAUGUGAAAUCCCGCGGCUCAACCGCGGAACUGCAUUUGAAACUGUUUUUCUUGAGUACCGG